RNAcentral lists this long non-coding RNA (467 nucleotides) under Carica papaya (papaya). RNAcentral's name for it is "long non-coding RNA (CPAP_LNC010890)". Lineage: Eukaryota; Viridiplantae; Streptophyta; Magnoliopsida; Brassicales; Caricaceae. The record is from RNAcentral.
CGGGUGGCGGCGGUCGGCUCCCUGGCGGUUGGGCUGUCUUCUCCAGCGAGGGGCUCUGGCUGCUAGGGUUAGGGUUUGGGUGCGAAUGGGGUUAUUUAUACCUGUCCGCUUUUGAUAUGGGCCGUCCAUCACUUUUGAUCUAAAACGUCCGAUCGCGAUUAAAUAAGGAGUAAAUCUAGACCGUUCAUCGUGAUUCAAUCUAGACCGUCUGUGUACGAUUCAAUCUGGGCCAUCCGUGCACGCGGGAACGGAUCUCAGCUGUUCAAUUGCGCGCACGCAGAUCGCCCACGUGGCCUCCCGUAUCAGUGCCUCUGCCACCUGGCGCGUUUUGGUUGGUCGGGGCUGAUGACUGGGCAUCUGAUGUGGCGCAAUUUUUCUAAAUUACAUCUUAACCCAUGGUUUCUGAUAUUUCUUUCAAAAAUACCCCAAGAACCCAAAGUUUCACCAUUUUUUUCCAAAUUUAUUUU